AUGGAGUCCCCUCCGCGCGCUCCAGGCGCCGGGCCCAUCAGGAUGCGGGGCACGUUCGCCGCCCGAUGCCCCAGGAGCGCCCCCCGCCCCGGGGGUCCGCUCCCCGCUUCGGAGGCGCGCGCAGGCCGGGCCCUCGGAGCGCGGGGACCCCGGGCGCGCCAGCCGCAGACGUGGCCAGGGCGCCUCCCCACGGCCCUGCGCGGAGGCGGAGGCGGGGGCCCGGCGGGCGCGCACACGCGGGGAGGCCCGGGCCCGGGGGAGCGGCCGAGCCCCGCAGCCCAGCGGCUCCCCCUCCACGCGGGCGCCCGGGGACCAAGCAGAGGUCCGCCCACCGCGCUGCCCACGCCGCCCCCGCGGGCAGGGCCACCCGGCAGCCGCCCCCUCCCCGCCCCAGCUCCCGCGGCCUGCGCCUCCGGGGCCCACCGGCCGCUGCCCUCGGUCCGCGGCGCCCCUACCUCGCCGCCGGCGACUCGCCCCACCCGCCACCGCGCCCGGACGCCGCGCCCCGGCCGGUGGUCUCCGCCGCGCAUGCGCGUGGGCCUCUUCCCGCGCACCUGUGGGAGCGCCCGGGGCGGGGCGGCCGCCUCCCGCGCACCUGUGCGAGCGCCCGGCGGGUUCGCAGGCGUCUUCCCGCGCGCGGGGGCGGGGGGCCUGGGGGCGGCGAGCGCCUGGGGGGUCCUCCGCUGCUCCGCGCGCCCCCGCGAGCGCCCAGGGGUCCCCCGCUGCUCCCCGCGCGCCCUGGAGCGCCUGGGGGGUCCUCCGCCGCUCCCCGCGCCCCCGCGAGCGCCCAGGGGUCCCCCUCCCCGCGCCCCCGCGAGCGCCCAGGGUCCCUCCGGCGCCGCCAGGCCCGGGCCGGCGAGUCCCCCCGCCGCGCCCUGCCCCGGGAAGCGGCGCAGCGGGCGCGGGGCCCGGCACUCACCCGGUCCGCGGAGGCCCAGCCGCUCAGAGGAGCGCGCCGCGGGGGCGGGAGCGGCCUCCGCCUCCGCCGGGCGCGCGUGCACUGGGGCGCGCAGCUCGGGUGAGGGAGCGCGCGCCGCCGCCAGGCUCGGCCCCGCGGGGCCCCGGCCCGGCCCCCCCGCCGCUCGCCCACCGUCGCCGGGACCGCGCGAGGCUCGCAGGCUCGGAGCUCGGAGCUCGGGCGCCAGGGGCCACCCGCACCCGGACGGCCCCCGCGGAGGCCCCGCUGCGCCCGCGAACAUUGCGGGGACCCCCCCUCGGGCCUCUGCCGAAGGCCACACUCUUUGUGUCCAACUUCCCCGCCCCCUUGUCCUCCGGGGCCCCGCGGGCGAUUCUGCGCUUGGACACGGUGCCCUGCUGACACGUUGGGGGGGCAGCCCUGCUCUCCUCCUUACAGAUUCCCCAGUGAAAAAGCAAGAGGUUCCUGCGGCACCUCGUCCUCCGACCGCGGGGUGGCCCGGGGUGGGGGCGCAGGCCCUGCAGGGACCCCUGGGCUCCCGGGAAGGAAGGGAAGAUGCUCUCCCUACCUCCAGCUGCCUCCUGCCCCCUUCAGCGCUGAUUAACACUGGACCCCCCACGGUACGUGCUAUUUUUAAAGAUUUUGUGCAAAAUAAGGUUGAUUCGAUUUCCAUAGGCACAGAGAGCCUCAGACUUGACUUGGCUCAAAUUUUGCACUUGACAGUCUUUGCCCGGCUACUGUGCCCUGGGCCUUUCGGAUUUCAGGACCGUAGCUCAGGCUCUGAGAACAUCCUUAAAGAAUGGUUUUCAGGGAUCCCCGGUGGCUCGGCGGUUUAG
This 1752-nucleotide long non-coding RNA is filed under the name Canis lupus familiaris (dog). RNAcentral's name for it is "lncRNA (ENSCAFG00040006871.1)". The record is from RNAcentral. Lineage: Eukaryota; Metazoa; Chordata; Mammalia; Carnivora; Canidae.